GGCAGCUUACACAUGCAGUCGAGGGGUAUAUGUCUUCGGAUAUAGAGACCGGCGCACGGGUGCGUAACGCGUAUGCAAUCUACCUUUCACAGAGGGAUAGCCCAGAGAAAUUUGGAUUAAUAGCUCAUAGUAUUAUAGAGUGGCAUCACUUUAUAAUUAAAGUCACAACGGUGAAAGAUGAGCAUGCGUCCCAUUAGCUAGUUGGUAAGGUAACGGCUUACCAAGGCAACGAUGGGUAGGGGUCCUGAGAGGGAGAUCCCCCACACUGGUACUGAGACACGGACCAGACUCCUACGGGAGGCAGCAGUGAGGAAUAUUGGUCAAUGGACGCAAGUCUGAACCAGCCAUGCCGCGUGCAGGAUGACGGUCCUAUGGAUUGUGAACUGCUUUUGUACGAGAAGAAACAACAUUACGUGUAAUGUCUUGACGGUAUCGUAAGAAUAAGGAUCGGCUAACUCCGUGCCAGCAGCCGCGGUAAUACGGAGGAUCCAAGCGUUAUCCGGAAUCAUUGGGUUUAAAGGGUCCGUAGGCGGUUUAGUAAGUCAGUGGUGAAAGCCCAUCGCUCAACGGUGGAACGGCCAUUGAUACUGCUGAACUUGAAUUAUUAGGAAGUAACUAGAAUAUGUAGUGUAGCGGUGAAAUGCUUAGAGAUUACAUGGAAUACCAAUUGCGAAGGCAGGUUACUACUAAUGGAUUGACGCUGAUGGACGAAAGCGUGGGUAGCGAACAGGAUUAGAUACCCUGGUAGUCCACGCCGUAAACGAUGGAUACUAGCUGUUGGGCGCAAGUUCAGUGGCUAAGCGAAAGUGAUAAGUAUCCCACCUGGGGGAGUACGUUCGCAGAUGAAACUCAAAGGAAUUGACGGGGCCGCACAGCGGUGGAGCAUGUGGUUUAAUUCGAUGAUACGCGGA
This 911-nucleotide ribosomal RNA is filed under the name uncultured bacterium. RNAcentral's name for it is "bacterial SSU rRNA". It matches the Rfam family "Bacterial small subunit ribosomal RNA", at positions 41 to 965 of the family's 1533-position model. The record is from RNAcentral.